UACGUAGGGGGCAAGCGUUGUUCGGAUUCAUUGGGCGUAAAGGGUGCGUAGGCGGCGCGGUAAGUCGGGUGUGAAAUCUCGGAGCUUAACUCCGAAACUGCAUUCGAUACUGCCGUGCUUGAGGACUGGAGAGGAGACUGGAAUUUACGGUGUAGCGGUGAAAUGCGUAGAUAUCGUAAGGAAGACCAGUGGCGAAGGCGGGUCUCUGGACAGUUCCUAACGCUGAGGCACGAAGGCCAGGGGAGCAAACGGG
RNAcentral lists this ribosomal RNA (253 nucleotides) under uncultured bacterium. RNAcentral's name for it is "partial 16S ribosomal RNA". It matches the Rfam family "Bacterial small subunit ribosomal RNA", at positions 524 to 776 of the family's 1533-position model. The record is from RNAcentral.